GGCUCAGGAUGAACGCUAGCGGCAGGCUUAACACAUGCAAGUCGAGGGGCAGCGUAAUGAAGUAGCAAUACUGAUUUGACGGCGACCGGCGCACGGGUGCGUAACGCGUAUGUAACCUACCUUUAACAGGGGGAUAACACUGAGAAAUUGGUACUAAUACCCCAUAAUACUUUAGGAGGCAUCUCCUUUAGUUGAAAGUUCCGGCGGUUAAAGAUGGACAUGCGUUGUAUUAGCUAGAUGGUGAGGUAACGGCUCACCAUGGCGACGAUACAUAGGGGGACUGAGAGGUUAACCCCCCACACUGGUACUGAGACACGGACCAGACUCCUACGGGAGGCAGCAGUGAGGAAUAUUGGUCAAUGGACGCAAGUCUGAACCAGCCAUGCCGCGUGCAGGAAGACGGCUCUAUGAGUUGUAAACUGCUUUUGUACAAGGGUAAACCCUGGGACGUGUCCCAGGCUGAAAGUACUGUACGAAUAAGGAUCGGCUAACUCCGUG
RNAcentral lists this ribosomal RNA (498 nucleotides) under uncultured bacterium. Its description in RNAcentral is "bacterial SSU rRNA". It matches the Rfam family "Bacterial small subunit ribosomal RNA", at positions 21 to 507 of the family's 1533-position model. The record is from RNAcentral.